Molecule: long non-coding RNA, 533 nt
Filed under: Volvox carteri
Lineage: Eukaryota; Viridiplantae; Chlorophyta; Chlorophyceae; Chlamydomonadales; Volvocaceae
Description: long non-coding RNA (VCAR_LNC000801)
Source: RNAcentral
GCAUCGUCAAAAGCAAACCUUUGCUCGUACAACGCCGUAUUGGUUUGGGCGGAGGCGGAACAAUGCCGCGCCGGCCCCGAAUCAUAGGAUAACUUUUCGGCCUGCAGAAGGAGUAUGGAAAUUUUUAAAAUGAUUGACGAAACACAUAGGAUUGCUCCAUAUCUAGUAAAGCGUGACUGCUGACUAGCAGCACUACGCAAGGCCAUUAUCAACCACGACAUCCAGGGGCCGUCCGCAGGACUUGCUGGUUGGCAGAGCUGACAGGCACGUUUUUAACUUCCAAACUACUUCUGUUCGGUUGGCGACAAGGCGCGGAACACGCCAUGGCACAGAGAGUCUCAGAGAACCUUGUGUCAGUGGACGAUGACCAGACGGGCUGGAAUGGCACCCUUUCGAACAACUAAACCAGGUUUAAUUGUAGCCCACGGGCCGGGAACCACCUCGCAGGCCAGCGUUUCCACGAGGCGGCCUUGACCCUGGCGCGAGUGGAGGCUAGUAAUGGCCUCCGAUGAGGAUUUCAGCUUGAUGGAACC